UUGGAGGGCAAGUCUGGUGCCAGCAGCCGCGGUAAUUCCAGCUCCAAUAGCGUAUAUUAAAGUUGUUGCAGUUAAAAAGCUCGUAGUUGAAUUUCGGGAUCAGAGUGUCGGUCGUGCCUCGGUACGCACUGGUAUUAUUGGUUCCUACCUUCUGAAGAACCGCGAUGUCAUUAAUUUGGUGUCGUGGGGAAUCAGGACUGUUACUUUGAAAAAAUUAGAGUGUUUAAAGCAGGCUUACGCUUGAAUACAUUAGCAUGGAAUAAUGAAAUAGGACGUUUGAUUCUAUUUUGUUGGUUUCUAGGAUUGACGUAAUGAUUAAUAGGGAUAGUUGGGGGCAUUAGUAUUCAAUUGUCAGAGGUGAAAUUCUUGGAUUUAUUGAAGACUAACUACUGCGAAAGCAUUUGCCAAGGAUGUUUUCAUUAAUCAAGAACGAAAGUUAGGGGAUCGAAGACGAUCAGAUACCGUCGUAGUCUUAACCGAUAAACUAUGCCGACUAGGGAUCGGAUGAUGUUAAUUUUUAAUGACUCAUUCGCGCUUACGGGAAAC
This 546-nucleotide ribosomal RNA is filed under the name uncultured Glomeromycotina. Its description in RNAcentral is "SSU rRNA". It matches the Rfam family "Eukaryotic small subunit ribosomal RNA", at positions 548 to 1098 of the family's 1831-position model. Lineage: Eukaryota; Fungi; Glomeromycota. The record is from RNAcentral.